This 468-nucleotide ribosomal RNA is filed under the name uncultured bacterium. RNAcentral describes it as "partial 16S ribosomal RNA". It matches the Rfam family "Bacterial small subunit ribosomal RNA", at positions 28 to 507 of the family's 1533-position model. The record is from RNAcentral.
GAUGAACGCUGGCGGCGUGCUUAACACAUGCAAGUCGAACGGAUAGGGCCUGCUUGUUUCUGGUGCCAGAGUCGGGAACGGGUGAGUAACACAUGAAUAACCUUCCCAGUAGUUGAUAAUAACCGCAGAAAAGUGCGGAUAAUGCCUGAGACGAGCUCCUGCUACAGGGGGGGCGUCGGAAAGCAUCGGCUCUUGGGGAUGGACUGGCGAAUUAUCAGCUUGUGGGUGGGGUAGUGGCUUACCAAGGCGUUGACGGGUAGCCGGCCUGAGAGGGUGAGCGGCCACAUUGGGACCGAGAUGAGGCACAGGCUCAUACGGUAGGCAGCAGUGCGGAAUAUUGCACGAUGCGAGGCGGCCUGGUGCAGCAAGGCAGCGUGCGGGAAGGCGGCCUUAGGGUUGUGAACGGCUUUCGCAUGAGACGCAGCGUGCGUGGCGGUAACGGGUAAAGAAGCAACGGCUAACUUCGUG